Molecule: ribosomal RNA, 702 nt
Filed under: Paractinoplanes ferrugineus
Lineage: Bacteria; Bacillati; Actinomycetota; Actinomycetes; Micromonosporales; Micromonosporaceae
Description: bacterial SSU rRNA
Rfam family: Bacterial small subunit ribosomal RNA
Source: RNAcentral
UCGCUCUACCAUGCAAGUCGAGCGGAAAGGCCCUUCGGGGUACUCGAGCGGCGAACGGGUGAGUAACACGUGAGUAACCUGCCCUGGACUUUGGGAUAACCCUCGGAAACGGGGGCUAAUACCGGAUAUGACUGUGGACUGCAUGGUCUGUGGUGGAAAGUUUUUCGGUCUGGGAUGGGCUCGCGGCCUAUCAGCUUGUUGGUGGGGUGAUGGCCUACCAAGGCGACGACGGGUAGCCGGCCUGAGAGGGCGACCGGCCACACUGGGACUGAGACACGGCCCAGACUCCUACGGGAGGCAGCAGUGGGGAAUAUUGCACAAUGGGCGGAAGCCUGAUGCAGCGACGCCGCGUGAGGGAUGACGGCCUUCGGGUUGUAAACCUCUUUCAGCAGGGACGAAGCGCAAGUGACGGUACCUGCAGAAGAAGCGCCGGCCAACUACGUGCCAGCAGCCGCGGUAAGACGUAGGGCGCGAGCGUUGUCCGGAUUUAUUGGGCGUAAAGAGCUCGUAGGCGGCUUGUCGCGUCGUUCGUGAAAACCCACAGCUCAACUGUGGGCUUGCGGUCGAUACGGGCAGGCUCGAGUUCGGUAGGGGAGACUGGAAUUCCUGGUGUAGCGGUGAAAUGCGCAGAUAUCAAGAGGAACACCGGUGGCGAAGGCGGGUCUCUGGGCCGAUACUGACGCUGAGGAGCGAAAGCGUGGG